GAUGAACGCUGGCGGCGUGCCUAAUACAUGCAAGUCGAGCGAACGGACGAGAAGCUUGCUUCUCUGAUGUUAGCGGCGGACGGGUGAGUAACACGUGGAUAACCUACCUAUAAGACUGGGAUAACUUCGGGAAACCGGAGCUAAUACCGGAUAAUAUUUUGAACCGCAUGGUUCAAAAGUGAAAGACGGUCUUGCUGUCACUUAUAGAUGGAUCCGCGCUGCAUUAGCUAGUUGGUAAGGUAACGGCUUACCAAGGCAACGAUGCAUAGCCGACCUGUGAGGGUGAUCGGCCACACUGGAAGUGAGACACGGUCCAGACUCCUACGGGAGGCAGCAGUAGGGAAUCUUCCGCAAUGGGCGAAAGCCUGACGGAGCAACGCCGCGUGAGUGAUGAAGGUCUUCGGAGCGUAAAACUCUGUUAUUAGGGAAGAACAUAUGUGUAAGUAACUGUGCACAUCUUGACGGUACCUAAUCAGAAAGCCACGGCUAACUACGUG
RNAcentral lists this ribosomal RNA (497 nucleotides) under uncultured bacterium. RNAcentral describes it as "partial 16S ribosomal RNA". It matches the Rfam family "Bacterial small subunit ribosomal RNA", at positions 28 to 507 of the family's 1533-position model. The record is from RNAcentral.